AGAGCGAACGCUGGCGGCAGGCCUAACACAUGCAAGUCGAGCGCUCGUAGCAAUACGAGAGUGGCAGACGGGAGAGUAACACGUGAGCAACCUGCCCUUAGCUCCGGGAUAGCUCCGGGAAACCGGAAUUAAUACCGGAUACGACCACGGCCGACAUCUGCUGUGGUGGAAAGGAUUCCGGCUAAGGAUGGGCUCGCGGCCUAUCAGCUAGUUGGUGGAGUAACGGCCCACCAAGGCGACGACGGGUA
Molecule: ribosomal RNA, 248 nt
Filed under: uncultured bacterium
Lineage: Bacteria
Description: partial small subunit ribosomal RNA
Rfam family: Bacterial small subunit ribosomal RNA
Source: RNAcentral